GGAAUUUUUAUUAUGUGGUGAAGAGUCCUUGACAUUGAUGCCACACGUCCUACAAACUGAGAAUAAGCUUUCCGCCUCACAGAUGGCUGUGGAGUAGAGUGGGUGAAUGAUUCUUGGUGGGUUCCUAGCUCAGGACACCGUUCUAUCAGGAUUUGGCAGCAUCACAAUUUCAUCAACCCGAGUUAAGGCGGCUAAAUUCUUCUCAAAUUAGCGAACUGCAAACCCGUCCAGGACACGGUGAUUGUACCUGGAGGCCAGUGCCAG
RNAcentral lists this unclassified non-coding RNA (264 nucleotides) under Hevea brasiliensis (rubber tree). Lineage: Eukaryota; Viridiplantae; Streptophyta; Magnoliopsida; Malpighiales; Euphorbiaceae. The record is from RNAcentral.